RNAcentral lists this ribosomal RNA (733 nucleotides) under uncultured Filifactor sp. RNAcentral's name for it is "bacterial SSU rRNA". It matches the Rfam family "Bacterial small subunit ribosomal RNA", at positions 28 to 776 of the family's 1533-position model. The record is from RNAcentral. Lineage: Bacteria; Bacillati; Bacillota; Clostridia; Peptostreptococcales; Filifactoraceae.
AGUGAACGCUGGCGGCGUGCCUAAUACAUGCAAGUCGAACGAUGAAGUCCUAGCUUGCUAGGAUGGAUUAGUGGCGCACGGGUGAGUAAUAUAUAGUUAAUCUGCCCUACACAGAGGAACAACAGUUGGAAACGACUGCUAAUACCUCAUACUCCUAUUUGACAUAAGUUAAAUAGGGAAAGUCUUUUCGGUGUAGGAUGAGACUAUAUCGUAUCAGCUAGUUGGUAAGGUAAUGGCUUACCAAGGCUAUGACGCGUAACUGGUCUGAGAGGAUGAUCAGUCACAUUGGAACUGAGACACGGUCCAAACUUCUACGGAAGGCAGCAGUAGGGAAUCUUGCACAAUGGGCGAAAGCCUGAUGCAGCAACGCCGCGUGAAGGAUGAAGGCCUUCGGGUUGUAAACUUCUGUUCUAAGGGAAGAAACGAAUGACGGUACCUUAGGAGCAAGCCCCGGCUAACUACGUGCCAGCAGCCGCGGUAAUACGUAGGGGGCAAGCGUUAUCCGGAAUUAUUGGGCGUAAAGAGUGCGUAGGUGGUUACCUAAGCGCAAGGUUUAAUUUAGAGGCUCAACCUCUACUUGCCUUGCGAACUGGGCUACUUGAGUGCAGGAGGGGAAAGCGGAAUUCCUAGUGUAGCGGUGAAAUGCGUAGAUAUUAGGAGGAACACCAGCGGCGAAGGCGGCUUUCUGGACUGUAACUGACACUGAGGCACGAAAGCGUGGGUAGCAAACAGG